This 468-nucleotide ribosomal RNA is filed under the name uncultured bacterium. Its description in RNAcentral is "partial 16S ribosomal RNA". It matches the Rfam family "Bacterial small subunit ribosomal RNA", at positions 28 to 507 of the family's 1533-position model. The record is from RNAcentral.
GACGAACGCUGGCGGCGUGCUUAACACAUGCAAGUCGAACGGAAAGGCCCUGCUUUUGUGGGGUGCUCGAGUGGCGAACGGGUGAGUAACACGUGAGUAACCUGCCCUUGACUUUGGGAUAACUUCAGGAAACUGGGGCUAAUACCGGAUAGGAGCUCCUGCUGCAUGGUGGGGGUGGGAAAGUUUCGGCGGUUGGGGAUGGACUCGCGGCUUAUCAGCUUGUUGGUGGGGUAGUGGCUUACCAAGGCUUUGCCGGGUAGCCGGCCUGAGAGGGUGACCGGCCACAUUGGGACUGAGAUACGGCCCAGACUCCAACGGGAGGCAGCAGUGGGGAAGAUUACACAAUGGGCGGAGGCCUGAUGCAGCAACGCCGCGUGCGGGAUGACAGCCUGCGGGUUGGGAACCACUUUCGCCUGUGACGAAGCGUGAGUGACGGUAAUGGAUAAAGAAGCACCGGCUAACUACGUG